RNAcentral lists this ribosomal RNA (497 nucleotides) under uncultured bacterium. RNAcentral describes it as "partial 16S ribosomal RNA". It matches the Rfam family "Bacterial small subunit ribosomal RNA", at positions 28 to 507 of the family's 1533-position model. The record is from RNAcentral.
GAUGAACGCUGGCGGCGUGCCUAAUACAUGCAAGUCGAGCGAACGGACGAGAAGCUUGCUUCUCUGAUGUUAGCGGCGGACGGGUGAGUAACACGUGGAUACCCUACCUAUAAGACUGGGAUAACUUCGGGAAACCGGAGCUAAUACCGGUUAAUAUUUUGAACCGCAUGGUUCAAAAGUGAAAGACGGUCUUGCUGUCACUUAUAGAUGGAUCCGCGCUGCAUUAGCUAGUUGGUAAGGUAACGGCUUACCAAGGCAACGAUGCAUAGCCGACCUGAGAGGGUGAUCGGCCACACUGGAACUGAGACACGGUCCAGACUCCUACGGGAGGCAGCAGUAGGGAAUCUUCCGCAAUGGGCGAAAGCCUGACGGAGCAACGCCGCGUGAGUGAUGAAGGUCUUCGGAUCGUAAAACUCUGUUAUUAGGGAAGAACAUAUGUGUAAGUAACUGUGCACAUCUUGACGGUACCUAAUCAGAAAGCCACGGCUAACUACGUG